UUUCCGUAGGUGAACCUGCGGAAGGAUCAUUAUUGAAAAUAAACCUGAUGAGUUGCUGCUGGCUCUCUAGGGAGUAUUGUGCACACUUGUCAUCUUUAUAUCUCCACCUGUGCACCUUUUGUAGACCUGGAUAUCUCUCUGAGUGCUUAGCACUUCAGGUUUGAGGAUUGACUUUAUUGUUCUCUCUUUAUAUUUCCAGGCCUAUGUUUCUUCAUAUACACAUUGUAUGUUAUAGAAUGUAGUAAUUAGGCCUUUGUGCCUAUAAACCUAUACAACUUUCAGCAACGGAUCUCUUGGCUCUC
Molecule: unclassified non-coding RNA, 302 nt
Filed under: plant metagenome
Description: partial contains small subunit ribosomal RNA, internal transcribed spacer 1, and 5.8S ribosomal RNA
Source: RNAcentral